Long non-coding RNA from Thalassophryne amazonica, 1308 nucleotides. RefSeq lists it as uncharacterized. NCBI's taxonomy places the organism in Eukaryota, Metazoa, Chordata, Actinopteri, Batrachoidiformes, Batrachoididae. The transcript is spliced from 3 exons. The record is from RefSeq and is a predicted model, not a curated record.
UUUAUACUGUUAAUGUGCAAAUAAAUCUUUUUCCAUCACAUAUGCCCUCAAUACUCAUUUUACGUUGAGUUUCUCAGCUCUCAUGUAAUUGUGGGGGGUUUUGUAUAGUUCAAGCUGACCCUUAGCACUGUUAGCAGUUAGUUAACAUACUGAAUAAACAUGACUUGUGAAUUACAUUUGCCACUCACACUAAUGCUAGUUAGCUACAUGUGGAAAAGUCUCCUACUUGGAACCACAUCAUAGUAAAUUGUUAAAAUGCAUUUGUCACUUAAACUAAUGCUAGUUACCACUUAGAUAACACAUUAGUAACUUAAUGUUAGCUGUGGUUCAUUACAGACACAAGCUCGCCAUAGCUAAUGCUUAGCUAAGAUGUUACCAAGUCAAGUAAACACUAACUACCGAUUAGGUAAUGUUUCAAUGACAAGUCGACUUUUCUUGUUUAAAUCACUUGUACUGAGGAUAUUAACACAAAAUGAGUUGAGCCCACCUUAAAAACUAAGAUGAAACAAAGUGACAGAGCAUCAGCCUACAUCUAUGUGUGUAGCAAGCAGUGUUUUCUCAUAUUAUUUUAAUUUUCCAAAUAUACUGAUGCUCAGAGCGUCAGAAAUCGAUGCUGCAUGUUUGCUUGGCCUCACUAACACCACACACACACGCACAACACACAAAGGUGAUCAAUUCAAUUUCAAUUCAAUUUCAAUUGUAAAUCAGUAAAUAAAAUUAAUUUGUCACAAAACGACUUUUUGCGCAGAUGGAACUGGCGCACAGGCUUCGGUCUUCACUCACAGCGUGAACUCAAAGCAAUAUUACACACAGCUGGACGAGUAGCGACGCAUUUCCGAGGAACAGCGGGGAAAGAAACGCAUUGUUUGUGCGCCCAGCUGCAACAAACACGUGACAUCAGCUGACAGGUCAUCACUGAUCUGUUCUUUUAAUUUGUUUUAACGGUGAUGUGGCAUAUUGAACAAGUUUGUUUAUUUUUAUAAAGUCAGGUCACUUUGAACUGUUUAAUCACGUCACUCAUCUGUUUCCAUCUGACGUUUUACUUUUUUACUUUUUUUUCUUUUCAUGCCGACUGUCCUUUUGCAUGAGUUUGACUUGAAUCGAUGUCUAUGCAAAAACAUCUUGCGCUUGUCAAGUGUGCUGAAAAGAAAGACACUGGGUCUGACUCACAACACAUCUGCCCUGAUGAACAAUUUUAAUUAAUUACAUAUAUAUACGAGGUCUAUUAGAUAAUAAACCGUGCGAUUGCACCAAUCAUGCUUGAACCCUUGUGCGCAUGCGUGAGUUUUUUCACGCGUGUCGGUGACG